GGCGGCGUGCCUAAUACAUGCAAGUCGAGCGGAUUGAUGGGAGCUUGCUCCCUGAUAUCAGCGGCGGACGGGUGAGUAACACGUGGGUAACCUGCCUGUAAGACUGGGAUAACUCCGGGAAACCGGGGCUAAUACCGGAUAACUCAUUUCCUCGCAUGAGGAAAUGUUGAAAGGUGGCUUUUAGCUAUCACUUACAGAUGGACCCGCGGCGCAUUAGCUAGUUGGUGAGGUAACGGCUCACCAAGGCGACGAUGCGUAGCCGACCUGAGAGGGUGAUCGGCCACACUGGGACUGAGACACGGCCCAGACUCCUACGGGAGGCAGCAGUAGGGAAUCUUCCGCAAUGGACGAAAGUCUGACGGAGCAACGCCGCGUGAGUGAUGAAGGUUUUCGGAUCGUAAAGCUCUGUUGUUAGGGAAGAACAAGUGCCGUUCGAAUAGGGCGGCACCUUGACGGUACCUAACCAGAAAGCCACGGCUAACUACGU
RNAcentral lists this ribosomal RNA (487 nucleotides) under marine sediment bacterium ISA-6190. RNAcentral's name for it is "bacterial SSU rRNA". It matches the Rfam family "Bacterial small subunit ribosomal RNA", at positions 38 to 506 of the family's 1533-position model. The record is from RNAcentral.